This 375-nucleotide ribosomal RNA is filed under the name uncultured organism. RNAcentral describes it as "partial 16S ribosomal RNA". It matches the Rfam family "Bacterial small subunit ribosomal RNA", at positions 526 to 896 of the family's 1533-position model. The record is from RNAcentral.
GAGGGGGUGCAAACGUUAUUCGGAUUUAUUGGGUGUAAAGGGUGUGUAGACGGGGUUAUUAAGUUCGUUGUUAAAUCUUCCGGGCCUAACCGGAAGCUCGCGAUGGAAACUGGUAACCUUGAGGAUGGAAGAGAGAAGUGGAAUUCUCGGAGUAGCGGUAAAAUGCGUAGAUCUCGAGAGGAACACCGAUGGCGAAGGCAGCUUCUUGGUCCAUUCCUGACGUUGAAACACGAAAGCGCGGGGAGCAAACAGGAUUAGAUACCCUGGUAGUCCACGCCGUAAACGAUGAUCACUAGAUGUUGGCCCUGUUUUGCAGGGUUAGUAUCGAAGCUAACGCGUUAAGUGAUCCACCUGGGAACUACGAUCGCAAGAUUA